UACGGAGGGUGCAAGCGUUAAUCGGAAUUACUGGGCGUAAAGCGCACGCAGGCGGUUUGUUAAGUCAGAUGUGAAAUCCCCGGGCUCAACCUGGGAGCUGCAUCUGAUACUGGCAAGCUUGAGUCUCGUAGAGGGGGGGUAGAAUUCCAGGUGUAGCGGUGGAAUGCGUAGAGAUCUGGAGGAAUACCGGUGGCGAAGGCGGCCCCCCUGGACGAAGACUGACGCUCAGGUGCGAAAGCGUGGGGGAGCAAACAGGAUUAGAUACCCUGGUAGUCCACGCCGUAAACGAUGUCGACUUGGAGGUUGUGCCCUUGAGGCGUGGCUUCCGGAGCUAACGCGUUAAGUCGACCGCCUGGGGAGUACGGCCGCAAGGUUAAAACU
This 381-nucleotide ribosomal RNA is filed under the name uncultured bacterium. RNAcentral describes it as "bacterial SSU rRNA". It matches the Rfam family "Bacterial small subunit ribosomal RNA", at positions 524 to 901 of the family's 1533-position model. The record is from RNAcentral.